UUUCUUUCAAUCACUUGUUAAUUUGUUUUAUUUAGGUCUAAUUUUUAAUUCAUUUGCACAUUCAGUAUAUCCCUUCUUAUAAUUAAAUAUUAACUAUCUUGUGCAGAAGUUAUUGAUAGUAUAUAAGAUGGUCUCCCAUGAGUAUUAAUUGUAGACUGUAACAGUAACAUACUGUACAUGCCAUAAACAUUUGUAACUGGUCAGAGUGAGUGGUUGGUCAAGUGCAACUAAUUACUUUCUCCCUGCUGUUUACAUAAUGACCAAUGUCAAACUCACCUAUCUAAUAUAAAGGAAAGUGUGAGAUAAGUGGGGUUUACAACAUGUAAUCUAAUAUCCUGAACCAAUCUGGUAUCAGGAUCUGAUCUCAGAAAAUUCAAAUAUUACUCAGGAAGUUCAUUUGGACCUCAGUGCUUAUAACAUUAGGAGUAGAGUUAAACAUGUGACUUAAGUGCCAUUUAGAUGAAACAACUUAAUAAAAUUUAAUGUGAACUUUAAUAAAAUUAUAAUGGGACAUUAAAUGAGUUCUUCAUUCAGAUGGAAAUGGAAAUUUACUAAUGUUCAAUGGAAUAAUGGAAAACUUACAAUGCCCACAGGUACCAUAGAAAGUUUCAAAUUAUAAUGAUGACGAAGAAGAAGAAAAUUGAGUUGAUAACAGAAAUAAUUGAUGUGUGUACAACAGGCUUUAAAUGAUAUGGAUAGUUGUGUGCCACAGUGGAGCCAUUCUGAAAGACUGCAUCUGUAAAGGACAUGAUUUAUCAUAUUACAACAUGGAUACUUAUUUGGAAAAAAAAAAAAAAACAGUUAUCUUAAAUAAAUAUUUUGUUUUAUAUUUUCUCAGCUUGGUAGACAUUUAUCAUUUUUUGUAUUUGUGCAAUAGAAUAAUGUUUGUUAAGAUCUCUAAUGUAAAUCUAGAAAUAUUAGUUGAAAUGAAUAAAUUAAUUCUAUUAAAUAUUAGUUUAUUAAAAUAUUAUACCUUAUUACAUGACAAUUAAAAUUUUUUAUUUGUUACAAGGCGGAAAUUUUUCCGCCUAGGAUUUUUCCUGCGGAAUCCGCUUAAGGUAGGCGGAAUCCGCCUAAGGUAGGCAGAAUCCGCCUAAGGUAGGCGGAAUCCGCCUAAG
Long non-coding RNA from Ruditapes philippinarum (Manila clam), 1118 nucleotides. RefSeq lists it as uncharacterized. NCBI's taxonomy places the organism in Eukaryota, Metazoa, Mollusca, Bivalvia, Venerida, Veneridae. The record is from RefSeq and is a predicted model, not a curated record. The transcript is spliced from 3 exons.